Triplophysa rosa is the source of this 147-nucleotide long non-coding RNA. RefSeq lists it as uncharacterized. The record is from RefSeq and is a predicted model, not a curated record. The transcript is spliced from 3 exons. NCBI's taxonomy places the organism in Eukaryota, Metazoa, Chordata, Actinopteri, Cypriniformes, Nemacheilidae.
CCUGCAUCGGUUCAAAAACAGAGAGGGACGCAAGACCACACUCAACAAGAGCUGAUAGAAAAGUCUAAGCAAGAGAUUUUCCUGUAGUCAUGCAGUCUCAAGUUUCAGUUGUGCAGGAUGGCUAAUGAGUGGAGUGAUGAAUUUUCU